CUUCAAAAGAGAGUUCUAUAUGCAGUCUAUAUUAAAGCCCUGUAAACACAGUUUUAGUUUUGGACAAAAACUACCGUGUCGUCAUCAACGUUUUUUCAUGAUUACACUGGCCUAAAAUAGAAUUUAAGAUUUGAAUUAUAAGAAAUAACUUUAAUAUUUUGUCUGUCUAUUCUAAAUGAUAUCAAAAAUGUGUGGCACACUUUAAAAUAAAAAGCUACGCGGGGAAUUCAAGGUGCAUUUGAUGUUUUUUCUUCAUAACCAGAAAAAUAUUACAGUCAUUCCAAAUAGAAAUAAAGCGGUUUCAAAAACAAUAUAUUUUCCAAAAUCUACAUAUUUGAAAAACCUAAAUAAUGAGUAUGCGAGCUAAAAGUGAAACAAACGUUCUUUUAAACCUAUUUGAUUUUCUGGCUUUUGGUUCUGUAGAAAAUAAAGUCCAUACAAGAACGUCAAUUACACACAUAUAUAUACAAAUAUUUACACUUUUCUGAUUUAAUCAUCAUCAGUAAUUGUAAUUUAGCAAAGGGAAAGCCC
Molecule: long non-coding RNA, 531 nt
Filed under: Mytilus galloprovincialis (Mediterranean mussel)
Lineage: Eukaryota; Metazoa; Mollusca; Bivalvia; Mytilida; Mytilidae
Source: RNAcentral